UCAGGAGGAGUGGCAGCAGCUGGAACCUGCCCAGAAGGACCUGUACAGAGAUGUGAUGCUAGAGAACCUCCAGAACCUGGUCUCGCUGGUCUAGGACGACGUAAUCUCCACAAGACCCUUCUGAGCGUUCUGCCCAACGCCCCAUGAAUUAUAUGGUGCGAGUUCCAUGGCUGGUGUGAGGAGGCACUGUUCCCAGCCCUGCGUCGGCUCUGGGUACUGUUUUCAAUUCCUUUUGGGUGGUUUUUCUCCAGCCUUGGGUAGUUUCUGUAUACGAGGGUUCUGAUCAGUAACCCAAGUCCUGGAGGGAGGACCUUGCGUGUCUCCAGAGCCCGCUCUCCACACCUUCCUGUCCAGUACUCUGUCCUGGGAACUCCACCUGCCUCCAUCUCUCAAUUCCAUCUCCUCAACUCAGGGAGUCUGCCGGGCUUCGCCUCAGUUUCCCCUCCUGUGCUGUGGCCUGCGAACUUUCCUGUGAGUAAGUUGGGUGGUCGUAGGGCCUGCCUCUUUUGAGUCCUGUUUCAGGAAUCACUGCACUUUGUUGCCUGUUGUUCAGUGUCUUGAAAACCUUUGCUUUAUGUAUUUUGUCCUCUCUUCCUCCCAUUGCUUUAGGCUGUAGGCUGGAGGGAAAUCUUAUCUUUGUUACUCUAUCUUGGCCACAUUUUAGAAAAACAACAACAACAGUGUGUGUUCAUAUGUGUGUGUGCAUAACAGGGUGUGUUGUGCGUAUUUUUUUAAAGUAUGCACUGGGAAAGAAUUCUAAAAAUAUACAUCAAACUGUUAGAUGGUGAGAUUGCAGGAGACUUCCAUUUUAUGUUAUUUUUUGAUGUUUGAAUUAACAAGUGUGAAUUACUUUGUGAUCAGAAGCAAUUGUGGAAAUACAUAAUAUGGGGAAAGAAACUAUAAAGGACAAGAAAUCUAGUACCAUGAAAAAAAAAAAUCCACAUUUAGACCAAAAGGAAUGAAUAACAUUUUGGAUGUUUGUAGCUUGUUGCCGAAAUGGCCUCUGCAGACAUUGUCCUGUUAACAUUUCCCUUGACUGUGGGCACGAAGGCCCAUGUCCACACGCUGUCACCAGCCACACAUCAUCAAAUGCUUUGCUCCUUGCCAGUCUGAUUGGUGAAAAGCCAUAUGGCAGGGUCCUUUUAAUUUGGCUGAUGUUGAGCUGUGUUUGCAUAGCUUUUCACCAGUAAGAGCUGAUGUUUGCUUUUUUGCAAAUUAUCUCUCCUGAAGGGUGUUUGUUUUUUUUUUAAAUUGAAGUAGAGUUGAUUUACAAUAGUGUGUUAGUUUCAGCUGUACAGCAAAGUGAUUCAGUUAUAUACACAUGUAUAUAUUUUUAGAUUAUUUUCUAUUAUAGGUUAUUACAAGGUAUUGAAUGUAGUUCCCUGUGCUAUAUAAUAUAUCCUUGUUGCUCAUCUGGCUUAUGUAUAGUAGUGUGUAUCUGUUAAUCCCAAUCUCCUAAUUUAUCCCUCCCCCCCUUUCCCCUUUGGUAACCAUAUGUUUGUUUUCUGUGUCUGUCUGUUUUAUACAGAUUCAUUCGUAUUAUUUUUUAGAUUCCAUAUAUAAGUGAUUUCGUAUAAUAUUUGUCUUUCUCUGUCUUACUUCACUAAAUAUUAUAUUCUCUAGGUCCAUCCACGUUGCCAUAUCUCCUGAAGGGUUUUAAUCCCUGAAAGGGAGGCCGCCCCCUUUUUACUGCCCCGUAACUCUGGGAUUUUGCUGGCGUGCUCCCUCCAGCUCUCAUAUUUAUUCCAGAAGACUUCCAACUGUAUUCACAACCAAGACUCCGCUGCCUCCCAUCUCUGCAGGCUCAGGCCAGUGUAUAUCCCCAGCACGUCUCAGACCCCAUGCACCCCAAACCAGACCCGCUAUCAGCCUUCCUUUCCUCUUCCUACUGAGAAGUUACCCCCACCCAUGCCACGGGGCCUUCACGCCCCAUGCCUCCAUCUGCCCUAACAUCUGGGCAUCACGGCACACCCCAGGGUCACUAAGCCAGGAUCACUCUCAAGUAUUUCUCAAAUCCUUUGCUCUGGCAUGGGAAAGCACAAAAACACAGCAAAACAGUGAGUGACCAGGGCCCGUGGCUCUGUGGUCAUAGGCUUCAGUCUCAGCUCUGCCUCUCGUAUGCUGUGUGACCUUGAGUAUGUGGCUUCAUUCUCAGAGCUUCAGUUUCCUUGUCUGUAAAACGGGUAUGAUCUCAAACCUAACUACAUGGUCAUGGGGACCACGCGGAAUGAUCUGUGCCGACUGCUCAGCCCCGUACCGGGCACGUUGCCGGUGUGCAGUGCACGUUUACCUGCUACCUUGUGUGUGCCAGGUACCGUAACUAACCAGGCACGGGCCAGGGUCUUGCCCUCCUGGAGCUCACUUUCCACUGGCGGGCAGGGGCUGGUAGUAAACACAUCAAGGGACAAAAACAAGUUGCCACGGGCCAUAACGAACAAUCACUAGGAAGCAGGCAAGACGAUAGCAAGAGAGAUCUUCCUUUCUACCGUAAGAUGGAGGAUGGAGUAUCAAGGAGCCAGCAGGUGCAGAGGCCCAAGGCAGGAAGAGCUCAGCACAGACAAGGGGGUAAAAAGGGAACCGCAGGGCAAGUGUGCCUGAAGAAAAGGAAGACUUGGAAAUGAGACCUGAAAUGAAAGAACCGGACCUAAAGGAGGAGAUUUCGGAAGACAGACCAUCCGGGGCCUGGGGUACAGCCGUGGACGGAGCGCGGACGCAGGGUGACAGGGUGGAGCCGCGGCGGGGAAGCGCUAGGACCUGCCCGGGGCGGCUGGAAAUCUCCCGGGAGUCGGCCCCCGAAUGUCGUGAAUUGCAGGCGUUCGUUAACCAGAGCCCCACCCCGGCGCCACCCAGGUCGGGGGGUCCGAGAGAAGCAGGGAUUCACCCGUUUGCCAUGCGGGGCAAGAACCUCGCAGGUAACUCGGACCUUGGUAAACCCUCCAGACCGGACGUGGAGAAGAAAUCCUACGACUGCAGCGAGUGUGGCAAGGCUUUUGGCCGCAGCUCGUCGCUGGUCAAACACCAGCGCAUCCACACCGGGGAGAAGCCCUUCCAGUGCGACGUGUGUGGGAAGCACUUUCUGGAACGGUCGUCGCUGACCAUCCACCAGCGGGUCCACACGGGCGAGAAGCCGUACGCGUGCGGGGACUGCGGCCGCGCCUUCAGCCAGAGCAUGAACCUGAUCGUGCACCAGCGCACGCACACCGGCGAGAAGCCGUACGCGUGCGGCGAGUGCGGGAAAGCCUUCCGGAAGACCUCCUCCCUCGCCCAGCACGAGCGGGUCCACACGGGCGAGAAGCCGUACGCGUGCGGCGAGUGCGGCAAGGCCUUCCGCCAGAACAUGCACCUGAUCGUGCACCAGCGCACGCACACGGGCGAGAAGCCGUACGUGUGCGGGGACUGCGGCCGCGCCUUCAGCCAGAACAUGCACCUGACGGAGCACCAGCGCACGCACACGGGCGAGAAGCCGUACGCGUGCGGGGACUGCGGCCGCGCCUUCAACAAGAGCUCGUCGCUGACGCUGCACCGGCGCAACCACACGGGCGAGAAGCCGUACGCGUGCGGCGAGUGCGGCAAGGCCUUCAGCCAGAGCGCCUACCUGAUCCAGCACCAGAGGCUGCACAUCGGGGUGAAGCCUUUCGAGUGCGGCCAGUGCGGCAAGGCCUUUAGCAAGAACUCCGCGCUGACGCAGCACCAGCGCAUCCACACCGGCGAGAAGCCGUACGCCUGCUACAUCUGCAAGAAGCCCUUCACGGGCCGCUCGUCUCUGGUGGUGCACCAGAUGGGCCACACCGGCGAGAAGCCCUACGCGUGCGGCGAGUGCGGGAAGGCCUUCAGCCAGAGCGCCUACCUCAUCGAGCACCAGCGCAUCCACACGGGCGAGAAGCCGUACCGGUGCGCGCAGUGCGGCAAGGCCUUCAUCAAGAACUCCUCGCUCACGGUGCACCAGAGGAUCCACACCGGGGAGAAGCCCUACAGGUGCGGCGAGUGCGGGAAAACCUUCAGCCGGAACACCAAUCUCACGCGGCACCUGAGGAUCCACACCUAGGGAGCUUGGGGCGCCCCAGUCUACACCAGGUGGGCGGGGUCCUCGGCACGGGCCGUCGGCUCCGGGAGUUCUCAAGUGGGGGCCCAGGGUGGCGCCGCCCCGCGGCUCUUAGGAAUUGUGGGGAUCUUGGUUCCCACGCUCUCCUCCCCGGCCGGGCGUCCACACCACCGAGCCGGAAGGCAAGUUCCUCCGUGCCCAGUGUACUUGGGAAGGUUGCAAGGUUGGCUGUGGCUGGUAACUCACGGGAGUUCCAGGAACGGAGCGCGUCAGGGUUCCAGACCAAGCACAAAGUAAAUUUUAAGCGCUGAGAUGGAGCCUCCGGUCGGUCUCCGUUCAGAUAGUAAAGUUGGGGAGAGGCGUACAGGACUUGAUAAGAGCGUGGGGACGUUUGUCCCCUGGUCACACACACCUUCGGUCUAGUCCAGACGUAGGUUGUGAGUUUCCUCUAUGGGAAGAGCUAGAGGGGGACCCUUCGUCGUCCUUCCACAUCCCAGCCCCCCUGCAGUCUCCCUAAACCGUACUGGAAGCCCCCUCCCCCCAGGCUAAUAAGUGGUAGAAGUGGGCAAGUUCGUGAGAGGAAAAAAAAAAAAUUUUCAGAGUUAGCAAUAACAGUAAUCGCUUUGGAUGCCAAAGUUUCUCAUAGUGGUCUGUUAAAUUGUUUUUUAAAUAAAACUUUUCAUGAAGGGAGACCAAUGUCAUCUUAAACAGUCAUCAGAUGAGAAAGAUACAGGUACCAGGUGUGCUGUCAAGGUCGGUUUCAGUGCUCGUGGGAGAGGGCAGGGGAGCGAGUAACAACAGGCUUGAUAUUCAGGUUUAAAUACUUAACCGGAUUCAAUAAGUUGCGCAUCUGAGUCUCUUUACGUAGUUAUUUUUUGCAGUUGAACUUGAAGGAGUCUCCUAAGGCUGACCUGAAGUUUUGUGUACACAUAGAGUUCCCCCAGUCUCCCGUCUCCGGGACCUUUUCCACCACCUUUUUAUUUUAAUGUUCUGUGCUACCGGUCGCAAAUGUCCUGGCGUGUCUGAAUGUCUCACACUUCCUGACGCCGGGGUUCACAAAGAAUAAAUAAUUCAUUUUAAGCAACCACUUAUAUCAGUAAGCACAUUUCGUGUUGCAGGUAGAAAAAACAGCCAUGUAGAAACAUGGACAGUUCUUGAAUGUCUGUCAGGCCGCAGGCAUCAGGGUGGGCUUGAUCCAGACACACGGCGCGUCAGAACCACAGCUCUGCCUCCCCGUGGUCCGCUGGCUGUCCCUUCACGCACUGGCGUCGUCCUCAGGCUGGCUUCCCUUGUGGUUUCAUGGUGGUUUCCAGCAGCUCCUCUUGACACACUUCCUCAGUCUCGUCCAGAUGGGGACAGACCUCUUCCAGUCAUUGGCAAAAAAGCCCUACGCUUCAUUCCGCUGGACUCACCAGGGGCUGAUUGUUCUGACUAGAGAAAUGCCAUGUGCUGAUUGGCUUAGAUGUGGGUCUCGCCCUCAUCCUUGAAACAGUAGCUGUGGAAGGGGAAUAAAUGGGAGUGACUGCCCAGAUCGGCCUGAAACCACUGUCCACCCCUGACGUGGGCGUGGGGUCCAUUCCGCCCAGGUCACAGUCAGGGAGAAGUGGGAUGACACGGAGAAGCCGGCCCCAGCGUCAUCUGAUGGCCUCUCUGGCUUUUGUUGUGACAGUGAGGUCCUGCUGCGCGUGACAUUUUCUUCGGGGAGCCUUCUCAUUGCCUCGGUCACCACGAGAGCCCCCGGUCCUGGCUGUCCUCUGUGCUCUCUUGACCACGGGAUGGGGGCAGGGCCCAGAGAGACUGAGAGGCUCUGGGUCACGUCUGUUUGCACCAGCUUUCGUCGCCAUGCCCCCAUUCCCGUCGGCAAGAACAGAUGUCAGGGAGGAGUGGUCCAUCCCCCCUCCUGGAUGCAAGUGGGAAAUGCGGUCUCUGGAAGGACAGCUGCGUCCCAGGACUAACUCUGCACCAGGAAGGAAGGAACGUGAGGAGUGUGGGGGUUGCUGUCUCCGCCUGCCACCCAAAAUGCCAGUCAACAAGUGCGCACAUUUUCUCUGUCAAAGAUCAAGAUUUCCUGCUGAUCUCACUUCACCAACCCCAGUCUCUGCUCUAGAGGUGAGUGACUGCUGUGGAUUUGGGGUGCACUGGGAGUGUGCUUUUACUUUUCAUUUACAUACAUCUCUGUGCCUACAGAAGGAAAUGGAAUUUGUGUGUGCAUAUCUGCGAAUGCAUCGAUACUGGCCUGACUUUCCUUAUCUUGGCUAAUAUUACCCAUCCCAUAAUAACAGUGCCAAAUGCAUAUCAGCCUGUUACUAUGAUAUACGCACUGUUGCUAUUGACUAAGUUGUCAUAAUUAAAUCGAUAUGUCAUAUUUCAUUGAUGUUAAGGUGCACCUUUACUUUUUCUAUUGCUAACAUCUCUGACGUUGAAAUACAAUGGUCAAUAUUUGGAUUUUAGGAUUUUUAACUUCUUAUUGGGUAAGCAAUACACGUGGAAGGAAAACCGUCACAUUCACGGUGUGCCAUAGUCCAGGAAGAAAAAUUAGUUUACACCCUGAGAUUAACCAAAUAUAACAGGGCCAUCCUAUUUAGUCCUGAUCCCCCCAAAACAAAAAACUUCCUGUAAACCUGGAGUUUAAGCAAAAUCAACUUUAUCCGUGAGUUUUGCCAUGCUAAAAUUUGACGGUCUGUCAUGAACUUUCUGACUGUGAUAAUCGUUUAAUAAAAUUAGUGGUUUUUUGGGGGAAAUUCACUGAUGGUUCAGCGACUCAAGUCCUUCAGUGAAAGGACUCGGCGCUUUCACUCCCGGGGGCCCGGAUCCAAUUCCUGGUUGGGAAACUAAGAUUCC
This is an RNA transcript of Physeter macrocephalus (sperm whale), 6883 nucleotides long. It is a transcript of the gene named endothelial zinc finger protein induced by tumor necrosis factor alpha, with no coding region annotated. Lineage: Eukaryota; Metazoa; Chordata; Mammalia; Artiodactyla; Physeteridae. The transcript is spliced from 5 exons. The record is from RefSeq and is a predicted model, not a curated record.